RNAcentral lists this long non-coding RNA (1099 nucleotides) under Sus scrofa (pig). RNAcentral's name for it is "lncRNA (ENSSSCG00070000781.1)". Lineage: Eukaryota; Metazoa; Chordata; Mammalia; Artiodactyla; Suidae. The record is from RNAcentral.
AUUCGGCUUCUUUUUUGUUAUAUCCACUAGUUUGUUGUAUUUUAUAGAUUCCGCAUAUAAGUGGAAUAUCAUACAGUGUUUGUCUUUGACUUUUUUCAUUUAACAUAAUGCCCUCCAAGUCCAUCCAUACUGCUGCAAAUGGCAAGAUUUUGUUCUUUUUUAUGGCUGAAUAGUAUUCCAUUGUAUAUAGAUAGCAUUUUCUUUACAUUUUUAUAUUGAGGUAAAACUCAUAUACAAUAAGCUGCGUGAACACGAAGUGUGUUACGUGUAACAUUGGUGACUAUUUUACCAAGUUCUUACUCCACCCUGAUCAAGGCACAGAACAUUCCCAACACCCGCAGAACGCUCUCCUGUGCUCCCUUCCAGUCAACACAGCCCUCUUCAAAGACAGCCACUCUUCAGACUUCUCAGACCACCGGUGACUGGAUCAGAGUGAUGCCAGGCCCUCUGCAGCCAUUUUGUGUCCAUGAGAAGAGCUAGUCCAGAGACAAAGUGGACAUUCAGAGAAGGACACAAAGGAGCAAAUCCCAAUCCCUAGAGGCAUUCCAUCAGUUCACCCACCCCCUGGGCUUUGCACAAGAUGGAGAUCUGAGGUCUGGGCCUGAAACCACAUGCUUCAACCAUCUGACAGCAUUUACUCCUGCACCAGGUUCCAGAUUCUGGAGAAAAGGGCUCAGAAAAGUCCUCCAUAAGGUCCCUCCUCCGAUAAGACUUCUUCCUGCAGAAUCACAUCUCCAUUAAGAGCAUGCCAGGCAAAUGCUACCAACGAAUGGGAACCAGCACACUAGGUUAAACACAUUAUACAGGGGAUGACCCAUGAUGUAAAGCUGAGUGGAAGGAAGCCCAAUAGUAAGUACAGCACAAAAUAGUUCUUAAAAGGAGAAACUAAGCAUGCUGGUGCAAAUGAUAAAUGUAGGAAAGUGACAUCUCCUAGGGGUGUGGUGUGUGUGUGUGUGUGUGUGUGGUUGGGAUUGCAAUGUUCCUUUUCUCUUUUGUGUUGCCUCUGCACUGAGUGGCUACUCAUUUGAUGCAUAUGCUCAUUGAGCAUCUAUUAUGUGCCAGUCCUCUAUUAGGGAUGCAAGGAUGAUCAAGAUUAAUG